This 664-nucleotide long non-coding RNA is filed under the name Cyanistes caeruleus (blue tit). RNAcentral's name for it is "lncRNA (ENSCCEG00000023074.1)". The record is from RNAcentral. Lineage: Eukaryota; Metazoa; Chordata; Aves; Passeriformes; Paridae.
CCAACUUAAAAAAAAAAAAAUCACCACCACACAUAAUAGGAAAAUUACCAUGUUAACACAGAGUAACUGUUCUGAAAACUGUAUUUAACAACUUAAUUUUUUCUUUUCAAUGGCAGCUCACAUGGCACCCAAAAAAGCUCUAGAUUAUGUUCUGGCACUACCCUCCAUGCUUGUUCUCUGCUUAGCAAGGGCAGGGAUGAAAAACUAUCCAUGGGAUGUUUCAGCAGAUCUACUCAUCUUUUCAAGCAUGAGGAAAUGGCAGCAGCACCUUUUUCACCAGGAAAGCCAUUGGAAAAACAGCUUGCAGAAGACAAAAAAGGAACAGAAAGUUGCAUAUGCUGUAAGAGGAGACUCCAUCCCAACCCUGCAGCAAGUCACAGCAUGUCAGACCAUCAGGCUCAUCUGCUGUUUCUGUGGAAUUAUGCUGUUUAAAUUUCCCCUUACCUUACAGUGGUGUUCAAACAAGGCAGUCCUCUGUGACCCAGAGCAUGUUAGUGACUGCUGCAUCUCUGUCAUUGGAAGUAAUUGCCAUUCUUUCUUCAGUAAACCCAAAUUGCUCUCCGUGUCCAGGCCUUUGCUGUGCAGUACAGACUCAUUUUCUGCAUUAGCGUGUAGAGGAGGAAGCAGCGAUGCUGGCUGUACCUCUGGGACACAGAGGAAAUGA